UUUAGGUUUUAUAUUCAAGAUUUCAAAGUUUGAUCAAUGGAGUUUCAAGGAGCCAUAAUUUGCCGACUACAACAACAAAGUGUUGUGAUUAUAUUGGGAUGAAGAUCCUUUUAAGAAGUUUAAAAAGUUUGUAGGUAUGUUAAUAAAAUUAAAGCAUAUCAAUGACAAAUCAAGAUGAUGUUGAUCAAAUUAAGGCGCAAUUGAAGACCAUGGAAGAAGUGAUAAGGAAAGACUAUGAUACUUUAGAUUCAAACAAGAUGAUCUCUUAAAAGAAUUGUAUAUUGUAGCUAUUUUCAAAAUUGUAAUACACAACUAUUGAUAACUUGGGAAAUA
This is a long non-coding RNA of Solanum tuberosum (potato), 333 nucleotides long. RefSeq lists it as uncharacterized. The transcript is spliced from 3 exons. Lineage: Eukaryota; Viridiplantae; Streptophyta; Magnoliopsida; Solanales; Solanaceae. The record is from RefSeq and is a predicted model, not a curated record.